RNAcentral lists this ribosomal RNA (1371 nucleotides) under uncultured bacterium. RNAcentral describes it as "bacterial SSU rRNA". It matches the Rfam family "Bacterial small subunit ribosomal RNA", at positions 28 to 1381 of the family's 1533-position model. The record is from RNAcentral.
GAUGAACGCUGGCGGCGUGCCUAAUACAUGCAAGUCGAGCGAACGGACGAGAAGCUUGCUUCUCUGAUGUUAGCGGCGGACGGGUGAGUAACACGUGGAUAACCUACCUAUAAGACUGGGAUAACUUCGGGAAACCGGAGCUAAUACCGGAUAAUAUUUUGAACCGCAUGGUUCAAAAGUGAAAGACGGUCUUGCUGUCACUUAUAGAUGGAUCCGCGCUGCAUUAGCUAGUUGGUAAGGUAACGGCUUACCAAGGCAACGAUGCAUAGCCGACCUGAGAGGGUGAUCGGCCACACUGGAACUGAGACACGGUCCAGACUCCUACGGGAGGCAGCAGUAGGGAAUCUUCCGCAAUGGGCGAAAGCCUGACGGAGCAACGCCGCGUGAGUGAUGAAGGUCUUCGGAUCGUAAAACUCUGUUAUUAGGGAAGAACAUAUGUGUAAGUAACUGUGCACAUCUUGACGGUACCUAAUCAGAAAGCCACGGCUAACUACGUGCCAGCAGCCGCGGUAAUACGUAGGUGGGCAGCGUUAUCCGGAAUUUAUGGGCGUNAAGCGCGCGUAGCGGUUUUUUAGUCUGAUGUGAAAGCCCACGGCUCAACUCGUGGAGGGUCAUUGGAAACUGGAAAACUUGAGUGCAGAAGAGGAAAGUGGAAUUCCAUGUGUAGCGGUGAAAUGCGCAGAGAUAUGGAGGAACACCAGUGGCGAAGGCGACUUUCUGGUCUGUAACUGACGCUGAUGUGCGAAAGCGUGGGGAUCAAACAGGAUUAGAUACCCUGGUAGUCCACGCCGUAAACGAUGAGUGCUAAGUGUUAGGGGGUUUCCGCCCCUUAGUGCUGCAGCUAACGCAUUAAGCACUCCGCCUGGGGAGUACGACCGCAAGGUUGAAACUCAAAGGAAUUGACGGGGACCCGCACAAGCGGUGGAGCAUGUGGUUUAAUUCGAAGCAACGCGAAGAACCUUACCAAAUCUUGACAUCCUUUGACAACUCUAGAGAUAGAGCCUUCCCCUUCGGGGGACAAAGUGACAGGUGGUGCAUGGUUGUCGUCAGCUCGUGUCGUGAGAUGUUGGGUUAAGUCCCGCAACGAGCGCAACCCUUAAGCUUAGUUGCCAUCAUUAAGUUGGGCACUCUAAGUUGACUGCCGGUGACAAACCGGAGGAAGGUGGGGAUGACGUCAAAUCAUCAUGCCCCUUAUGAUUUGGGCUACACACGUGCUACAAUGGACAAUACAAAGGGCAGCGAAACCGCGAGGUCAAGCAAAUCCCAUAAAGUUGUUCUCAGUUCGGAUUGUAGUCUGCAACUCGACUACAUGAAGCUGGAAUCGCUAGUAAUCGUAGAUCAGCAUGCUACGGUGAAUACGUUCCCGGGUCU